AACGAACGCUGGCGGCAUGCCUAACACAUGCAAGUCGAACGAGACCUUCGGGUCUAGUGGCGCACGGGCGCGUAACGCGUGGGAACCUGCCCUUAGGUUCGGAAUAACUCCCCGAAAGGGGUUCUAAUACCGGAUAAUGUCUUCGGACCAAAGAUUUAUCGCCUUUGGAUGGGCCCGCGUUGGAUUAGCUAGUUGGUAGGGUAAAAGCCUACCAAGGCGACGAUCCAUAGCUGGUCUGAGAGGAUGAUCAGCCACACUGGGACUGAGACACGGCCCAGACUCCUACGGGAAGCAGCAGUGGGGAAUAUUGGACAAUGGGCGAAAGCCUGAUCCAGCAAUGCCGCGUGAGUGAUGAAGGCCUUAGGGUUGUAAAGCUCUUUUACCCGGGAUGAUAAUGACAGUACCGGGAGAAUAAGCUCCGGCUAACUCCGUG
RNAcentral lists this ribosomal RNA (433 nucleotides) under uncultured bacterium. RNAcentral describes it as "partial 16S ribosomal RNA". It matches the Rfam family "Bacterial small subunit ribosomal RNA", at positions 29 to 507 of the family's 1533-position model. The record is from RNAcentral.